RNAcentral lists this ribosomal RNA (247 nucleotides) under uncultured bacterium. RNAcentral's name for it is "partial 16S ribosomal RNA". It matches the Rfam family "Bacterial small subunit ribosomal RNA", at positions 57 to 305 of the family's 1533-position model. The record is from RNAcentral.
GCAAGUCGAGGGGUAGAAUGUCUUCGGACGUUUGAGAACGGCGCACGGGUGCGUAACGCGUAUGCAACCUAACUCUUACUGGGGAAUAGCCCGGAGAAAUUCGGAUUAAUGCCCCAUAUGCUCGUACGACCUCAUGGUCGAGCGAGGAAAGCUCCGGCGGUAAGAGAUGGGCAUGCGUCCUAUUAGCUUGUUGGUGAGGUAACAGCUCACCAAGGCUACGAUAGGUAGGGGGCCUGAGAGGGUGACC